UGAUAUGCAGGGGCCCCAG
This 19-nucleotide unclassified non-coding RNA is filed under the name Mus musculus (house mouse). RNAcentral's name for it is "oocyte_clustered_small_RNA8113". The record is from RNAcentral. Lineage: Eukaryota; Metazoa; Chordata; Mammalia; Rodentia; Muridae.